Molecule: ribosomal RNA, 446 nt
Filed under: uncultured bacterium
Lineage: Bacteria
Description: partial 16S ribosomal RNA
Rfam family: Bacterial small subunit ribosomal RNA
Source: RNAcentral
CCUACGGGUGGCUGCAGUCGAGAAUCAUUCACAAUGGGGGAAACCCUGAUGGUGCGACGCCGCGUGGGGGAAUGAAGGUCUUCGGAUUGUAAACCCCUGUCAUGUGGGAGCAAAUUAAAAAGAUAGUACCACAAUAGGAAGAGACGGCUAACUCUGUGCCAGCAGCCGCCGUAAUACAGAGGUCUCAAGCGUUGUUCGGAAUCACUGGGCGUAAAGGGUGCGUAGGCUGUUUCGUAAGUCGUGUGUGAAAGGCGGGGGCUCAACCCGCGGACGGCACAUGAUACUGCGAGACUAGAGUAAUGGAGGGGGAACCGGAAUUCUCGGUGUAGCAGUGAAAUGCGUAGAUAUCGAGAGGAACACUCGUGGCGAAGGCGGGUUCCUGGACAUUAACUGACGCUGAGGCACGAAGGCCAGGGGAGCGAAAGGGAUUAGAUACCCGUGUAGUC